AGGCGAUGAAGAAAGAAAACAUUUCUCGAUUCUGAUUAUUAGGUGCUUGUGAUUUGAUGAUGGAUGAUUUAAAUCAUCCAUUUUUCUCUUCACGCAGCAUCAUUUGAUGACCGAAUUUGUGCGUGUCUGAGCCUC
Lactuca sativa (garden lettuce) is the source of this 135-nucleotide small nucleolar RNA. RefSeq annotates it as small nucleolar RNA snoR126. Lineage: Eukaryota; Viridiplantae; Streptophyta; Magnoliopsida; Asterales; Asteraceae. The record is from RefSeq and is a predicted model, not a curated record.